RNAcentral lists this ribosomal RNA (369 nucleotides) under uncultured eukaryote. RNAcentral describes it as "SSU rRNA". It matches the Rfam family "Eukaryotic small subunit ribosomal RNA", at positions 587 to 969 of the family's 1831-position model. The record is from RNAcentral.
AGCUCCGAUAGCGUAUAUUAAAGUUGUUGCAGUUAAAAAGCUCGUAGUUGAACUUCUGCAAGUCGAGGAUCGGACCUUUUCGGUACGCAUCCUUCUUGCAUCCCAUUAGAUUUAACAUCACGGUCUUUGGUGGUCGGUUGUAAAAUCUAUGAAUUUACUUUGAAAAAAUUAGAGUGUUUCAAGCAGGCGAUUUGCUGGAAUACAUUAGCAUGGAAUAAUAGAACAGGACCUUUCUGUCAUUUUAUUGGUACAUGACAAUAGGUAAUGAUUAACAGGGACAGUUGGGGGCAUUAGUAUUAUUUCAGAAGAGGUGAAAUUCAUUGAUUGAGAUGAGACUAACUUAUGCGAAAGCAUUUGCCAAGGAUGUUU